CCAAAGCGGAGGAAAAGAAACCAACAGGGAUUGCCCUAGUAACGGCGAGUGAAGCGGCAACAGCUCAAAUUUGAAAUCUGGCUCUCGGGCCCGAGUUGUAAUUUGUAGAGGAUGCUUUUGAUGCGGUGCCUUCCGAGUUCCCUGGAACGGGACGCCAUAGAGGGUGAGAGCCCCGUCUGGUUGGAUGCCAAAUCUCUGUAAAGCUCCUUCGACGAGUCGAGUAGUUUGGGAAUGCUGCUCUAAAUGGGAGGUAUAUGUCUUCUAAAGCUAAAUACCGGCCAGAGACCGAUAGCGCACAAGUAGAGUGAUCGAAAGAUGAAAAGCACUUUGAAAAGAGAGUUAAAAAGUACGUGAAAUUGUUGAAAGGGAAGCGUUUAUGACCAGACUUGGGCUUGGUUAAUCAUCUGGGGUUCUCCCCAGUGCACUUUUCCAGUCCAGGCCAGCAUCAGUUUUCGCCGGGGGAUAAAGGCUUCGGGAAUGUGGCUCUCUCCGGGGAGUGUUAUAGCCCGUUGCGUAAUACCCUGGCGGGGACUGAGGUUCGCGCAUCUGCAAGGAUGCUGGCGUAAUGGUCAUCAACGACCCGUCUUGAACCC
RNAcentral lists this ribosomal RNA (593 nucleotides) under Fusarium equiseti. RNAcentral describes it as "LSU rRNA". It matches the Rfam family "Eukaryotic large subunit ribosomal RNA", at positions 45 to 661 of the family's 3401-position model. Lineage: Eukaryota; Fungi; Ascomycota; Sordariomycetes; Hypocreales; Nectriaceae. The record is from RNAcentral.